GAAAGAGCACAACUAGCCUGCUAAUCUAGUAUCUCCAAGACUAACAACUUGGCUCUUC
RNAcentral lists this transfer RNA (58 nucleotides) under Hemidactylus platyurus (flat-tailed house gecko). Its description in RNAcentral is "tRNA-Ser". Lineage: Eukaryota; Metazoa; Chordata; Lepidosauria; Squamata; Gekkonidae. The record is from RNAcentral.